RNAcentral lists this ribosomal RNA (601 nucleotides) under Sporisorium trachypogonicola. RNAcentral's name for it is "LSU rRNA". It matches the Rfam family "Eukaryotic large subunit ribosomal RNA", at positions 44 to 625 of the family's 3401-position model. Lineage: Eukaryota; Fungi; Basidiomycota; Ustilaginomycetes; Ustilaginales; Ustilaginaceae. The record is from RNAcentral.
CAAUAAGCGGAGGAAAAGAAACUAACAAGGAUUCCCCUAGUAACGGCGAGUGAAGAGGGAAGAGCCCAAGAUUGGAAGCUGGCGUCUUCGGUGUCCGCAUUGUAAUCUCAAGAAGUGUUUUCCGCUUCGGACCAUGCCCAAGUCCUUUGGAAAACGGCAUCAUAGAGGGUGAUAGUCCCGUACAUGGCAUGGAGCGCCCGGAGCUUUGUGAUACGCUUUCUAAGAGUCGAGUUGUUUGGGAAUGCAGCUCAAAAUGGGUGGUAAAUGCCAUCUAAGGCUAAAUAUUGGGGAGAGACCGAUAGCGAACAAGUACAGUGAUGGAAAGAUGAAAAGCACUUUGAAAAGAGAGUUAAACAGUACGUGAAAUUGCCAAAAGGGAAGGGUAGGAGGUCAGAGAUGCGACUUGGGAUUCAGCCUUGCUUUUUGCUUGGUGUUUUUCCCAAGCUGCAGGCCAACGUCGGUUUUGGGCACUGGAGAAGGGUGGAAGGAACGUGGCACCCUUCGGGGUGUGUUAUAGCCUUCCACUGGAUACAGCGACCGAGACCGAGGACAGCAGCGUACUCGCAAGAGCGGGCCUUCGGGCACCUUUACGCUUAGGGCG